GCCAGCAUGGUUUAGAGGUUUGAGCAUUAGCACUAGGACUCUAGAGACCAAGGUUCAAAUCCUUGCUUGGCC
Phrynosoma platyrhinos (Desert horned lizard) is the source of this 72-nucleotide non-coding RNA. The record is from the annotation of a GenBank genome assembly. NCBI's taxonomy places the organism in Eukaryota, Metazoa, Chordata, Lepidosauria, Squamata, Phrynosomatidae.